Molecule: long non-coding RNA, 244 nt
Organism: Xiphophorus hellerii (green swordtail)
Lineage: Eukaryota; Metazoa; Chordata; Actinopteri; Cyprinodontiformes; Poeciliidae
Exons: 3
Source: RefSeq, a predicted model, not a curated record
GGUGUCAAACUCCAGUCCUGGAGGGCCAGUGUCCUGCAACUUUUAGAUGUGCCUCUGCUGCAUCACACCUGAAUAGAAUAAUUAAGUCAUUAAGGCUCCGGAAAACUUAUUUACAUAAUAAGGAGGCAAUUAAGCUAUUUGAUUCCGGUGUUUUGUACCUGUUGCACAUCUAAAAACUGCAGGACAGUGGCCCUUCAGGACUGGAGUUUGACACCACUGUACAUCCUGAACACCAGCCUAAACC